GGCGCUUUGGCGGAGUGGUUAACGGUAUGUUCAUCACCCAUGGGAGCCCAUAGACUUACUAAUCAAGAGCAGCGAUAGCCUAGAAAGCUAUUUCUUUCGGGAGCGCAGGUUCGAGUCCUGCAGGCGUCG
Non-coding RNA from Calycina marina, 129 nucleotides. Lineage: Eukaryota; Fungi; Ascomycota; Leotiomycetes; Helotiales; Pezizellaceae. The record is from the annotation of a GenBank genome assembly.